GGGGAGAGGCAGAGGGAGAGGGAGAAGCAGAUCCUCACUGAGCAGGGAGCACAACAUGGGGCUAGAUACCAGGACACUGGGAUCAGGACCUGAGCCAAAGGCAGACCCUCAAAUGACUGAGCCACUCAGGUGCCCCUCAGAAGGCUUUUGAUCAGCAUCCUGGGAGCAGAUCCUUAUCUCAGGGCUGGACUUAUGUUAUCCAAGCUGUUAUAAGUUAAAUUUUGCCCUCCACAAAGAUACAUGAAGUCCUGACACCUUAUACCUCAGAGUGUGACCUUAUUUGAAAACAGGGCCAUUGCUCAUGUAAUUAAUUAAGAUGGGGUCAUUCAAGGAACCCCUGGGUGGCUCAGCGGUUGAGCAUCUGCCUUCCACCCAGGGUGUGAUCCCAGAGUUCUGGAAUCGAGUCCCACAUCGGGCUCCCUACAAGGAGCCUGCUUCUCCCUCUGCCUAUGUCUCUGCCUCUCUCUGUGUGUCUCUCAUGAAUAAAUAAAAUCUUUACAAAAAAAAAAAAAAAAAAAAAAAAAGAUGGGGUCAUUUGAGUAGGCCCAAAUCCAGUAUGACUCUGCUCUCUUUAUUGAAAGGGCAAAUUGGACACAGAGAUAGAUGUGCACAGAGGAAAGACUGAAGACACAGAGGGAGCAGACAGCCAUGUGGUGGUGUAGGCCAAGAUUGAAGCGAUGCAUCUACAAGCCAAGGGAUGUCAGAGAUUGCUGGCAACUACCAGAAGCUAGAGGAAGCAAGGAAGGAUUCUCCUGUCAAGCUCUCAGAGGGAGCAACAGCCCUGUCAAUACUUUGAUUUCAAACUUCUAGUCUCUAGAAUUGUACAACAGUAAUUUUAUGUUGUUUUAAGGCAUCUACUCAUGUGCCAAAUACUUAAUGAGCAACUACUAUGUGUAGAUACUGUGCUAGGUCCUGGGGACACAUGUGGAGGCCUGGAGGCCCAGAGGUGGUGGUAGUAAGGCAGGGUGGUGAAGAGUCUGGGUCAGAGGUGACAGGACAAGGGCACUACCAUCAUGAAGAGGCAUUUGUGGGUGAGACUGGAACCAGAGGCAAGGGAGGUGAGGACCCACUCCUCCAAGAUGGACAGAGCUGGCGGGUAGUGUGAGGCCUCGGGGGCAGCUCUUUACUAUCCUCAUGGCUGAAACAAUCACAUUCUUGUUUCUCUAGAUGGGCACAACACAAUAGAGGAGGCUUAUGCACCACAAACUAUAGUCCUAUCCAAUAGUUGGGCCUCUGAGAUCACCCCAAAUAGUUGGUUUGGGGUGUGCCUCAAUUCUCUGUUCACAUUUACCAAGGUGUUACUGGUUUAAUCCAGAUGUCACAAAGGCCUCACCCCAGGGCCAUCAGGUGGGUGUUCCUUGCCAGGUACAGUGUUUUUGCUGGCCCCACCACUCACUCACUAGGUCCCAUUCCCACAAUCUUACUUCAUGCCUUGACCAAGUGAAAGCAUCUAAGGUUAAGAUCUGGGGCUUACUCAGAUUAUUGGUAAUGUUCCAGUUAUCUAUUGCUGUGUGACAAACCAAACUUAGUGUCAUAAAAUAACAACAAUCAUUUAACUCUUCUGUGGGCCAACAAUCCAGAUGACGCAUGGUGUGAAUGACUUGUCUCUAUUAUAUCUAGAGCCCUAAGGGGAGACUGCAAUAUCCAGGGGGUGGAAUCACCUGGAGCCUUCUUCAUUCACUUGUCUGCUGCCUGGACUGGGAUGACCCAAAGACUGGCCCCAAAGUAAACUGAGAGCCAGCAUCUACACUGGCUUCUCCAUGUGGAUUGGGAUCCUCAUAGCAUGGUGGCCUCAGGAUAGUUGAACUUACAUGGCAGCUCAGCUUUCCAAGGGCAAGGGUUCAGGAGAACCAGGUGGAAGCUGUACGGCCUUUCAUCACCUAACCUUAGAAGUCAUAUAGAAUCACCUCCACCAUACUCCAUUCAUCAAAACAGUCCCAAGCCUUCAGAGUUUCAAGAGGAAGGACAUGGAGCCUAUGGACAUAGAUGGAGACAAUGCCUCCAAAAGAGAAGUGUCAAUGGACCCAUGGCUGUGUUUCAAAACCACCACCGUCAAUUACAUCCACUGGGUAGAAAACAAGAUUUCCUUCAGGUCUAGAUUUUGGGGUAUACCUCACUUGACUUACAAAACCUGGCUCUCUGCUCAAGCAUGGAAUGAGGUUCAGACCCCUUGGCAUGAAAGUUAAAGUUCUUCACAGCCUGUCCCAGGCUGCCUUCCAGCCUUCUCCUCUGGCCAUCUGUGCUUUCCCUAAACUGGCCGAGGACCUGUGACCCCCUCAGAGGGGCACACUUUUCAAACUCCCCAAAGGUGCCGUUGAGGCUGGCGACAUCACUGGAUUAUUUCUCCAGAGGCUCAGAGCUUCCCAGAGGAUGCUGAAACCCAUCCGGAGCUCUGGAUUCCUGGCCUGAGGAUAUUGUCCCCUGUCCUCCACUAAUGACUCAGCCAUCUGUUUUCCUUCCCUGAACUCUGCUCUGCUGGAAGCUGCACAGACACCCCAGCUGGGGCUUCAAAGCCAGGUGGUUUGAGUGGCCCUACGCAUGGGAACCAGAACUGCUUGUGAUUCUCUAGAAUUCUCGCCCCAAUUCAUAACCAUUCACAGGGCACGGACAGCUGAGCUGUCUGCUUCCUUGAAAGGGCCGCCUUUGAAGCCAGUGAUGGGGGCACUGGAUGGCCUCCUGAGUGAGCACCACACCCAGUGAGGAGGGGAAGACAGGGGCCACAGGAGGCCACACCCUGGAAGGGCCACUCUGUUAAAAAGAGCCAUGGCCACUGCCAGGGGGGUGAAAAGUGAGACAAGAGGGAAGCACUUCCCCCAUCAGUGACCUUUGGUCCCCAACCAAAUGGAUGACUGUGGGGCUGGAGAGGACCGAGAGUCUAGGAAUUAAAGCCACAUCUCAUUUCACUUGAUGAGCUGCAGCCUCAUCUUUUCUAGAGGGGAAGAGACAAGUCAAAUUCACAAGCACAUAGGACACAUGACACUCUGCACUUGGACUUGAGCUCCUGAACAGUACUUAGUGAGUCAAGCUCAAGUAAAAUGAACCCCCGAGUCUAGCAAGAAGCCUUCUUUUCUGAUUUAUAUUCAUCUGCAGUAUCCCUAAUGUUUAGGGUUUUUAAAAACUUUGUAUUUGGAAAUCAUUAGACUCCCAGAAAGUUGCAAAAAUAGUACACAGGAUCCCAUCGACUCUUCACCCAGCCUCCCCCAAUGGUAAGCAACAUCUUUUGGAGCAGUAGUCUAAAAUCAAAGGAGACUGCUGUGGAUAUACUAUGGUUAACUAGACCACCGGCCUUAACUCUGCACCAGUUUUCACAUGUUCAUUUGUGUGUGUGUGUUUCUGUGUUAUUUUAUCCCAUGAAUAGACUGGUAUAACCACCACUGCAAUCAAGACAGACCCAUUCCAUGCCCACAUAGGAAGUCCCUUAUACUA
This 3426-nucleotide long non-coding RNA is filed under the name Canis lupus familiaris (dog). Its description in RNAcentral is "lncRNA (ENSCAFG00845000685.1)". Lineage: Eukaryota; Metazoa; Chordata; Mammalia; Carnivora; Canidae. The record is from RNAcentral.